This 70-nucleotide transfer RNA is filed under the name Cavia porcellus (domestic guinea pig). It matches the Rfam family "tRNA". Rfam says of the family: Transfer RNA (tRNA) molecules are approximately 80 nucleotides in length. Their secondary structure includes four short double-helical elements and three loops (D, anti-codon, and T loops). Lineage: Eukaryota; Metazoa; Chordata; Mammalia; Rodentia; Caviidae. The record is from Rfam by way of RNAcentral.
GGGGAUUUAGCUCAGUGGCAAAGCACCUGGCUGGCAAGUAUGAGGUCAUGAGUUCAAUCCCCAGUCCCCA